RNAcentral lists this ribosomal RNA (980 nucleotides) under uncultured organism. RNAcentral's name for it is "bacterial SSU rRNA". It matches the Rfam family "Bacterial small subunit ribosomal RNA", at positions 481 to 1455 of the family's 1533-position model. The record is from RNAcentral.
CAGGAAUAAGUCCCGGCUAAACUACGUGCCAGCAGCCCGCGGUAAAACGNUUACGGGGACAAGCCGUUAUCCGGAUUCACUGGGCGUUAAAGAAGCGUUGCNGCGCGGGUUCCGUUAACCAGGGGUUUGGGCGUGAAAGCUCCGGGCUUAAACUCGGAGAUGUCGUUCAAUACUGCGGGGCUUGAGGACAGCAGAGGAAGGUGGAAUUCCCGGUGUAGUGGUGAAAUGCGUAGAUAUCGGGAGGAACACCCGUGGCGAAGNCGGCCUUCUGGGCUGUUCCUGACGCUGAAGGCGAAAGCUAGGGGAGCGAACGGGAUUAGAUACCCCGGUAGUCCUAGCUGUAAACGAUGGAUGCUGGGUGUGGGGGGUGUAAAUUCCCUCUGUGCCGAAGCAAACGCGUUAAGCAUCCCGCCUGGGGACUACGGCCGCAAGGCUAAAACUCAAACGAAUUGACGGGGGCCCGCACAAGCAGCGGAGCGUGUGGUUUAAUUCGAUGCUACACGAAGAACCUUACCUGGGUUUGACAUGCACGUGGUAGGGAACCGAAAGGGGACCGACCUUCGGGAGCGUGCACAGGUGCUGCAUGGCUGUCGUCAGCUCGUGCCGUGAGGUGUCGGGUUAAGUCCCGUAACGAGCGCAACCCUUGCCCUUAGUUACAAGUGUCUAAGGGGACUGCCCGGGACAACUGGGAGGAAGGUGGGGAUGACGUCAAGUCAGCAUGGCCUUUAUAUCCAGGGCUACACACACGCUACAAUGGCCGGUACAAUAGGUUGCGAAGUCGUGAGGCGGAGCCAAUCCUCAAAGCCGGUCUCAGUUCGAAUUGCAGUCUGCAACUCGACUGCAUGAAGCUGGAGUUGCUAGUAAUCGCAGGUCAGCUAUACUGCGGUGAUACGUUCCCGGGCCUUGUACACACCGCCCGUCACGUCAUGGAAGCUGGCAACGCCUGAAGCCGGUGAGCUAACCCGAAAGGGAGGCAGCCG